Molecule: ribosomal RNA, 385 nt
Filed under: uncultured bacterium
Lineage: Bacteria
Description: bacterial SSU rRNA
Rfam family: Bacterial small subunit ribosomal RNA
Source: RNAcentral
GACGAACGCUGGCGGCGUGCUUAACACAUGCAAGUCGAACGAUGAAGCCUUUCGGGGUGGAUUAGUGGCGAACGGGUGAGUAACACGUGGGUAAUCUGCCCUGCACUCUGGGAUAAGCCCGGGAAACUGGGUCUAAUACCGGAUAUGACUUUCUUACGCAUGUAGGAAGGUGGAAAGUUCCGGCGGUGCAGGAUGAACCCGCGGCCUAUCAGCUUGUUGGUGGGGUAAUGGCCUACCAAGGCGACGACGGGUAGCCGGCCUGAGAGGGCGACCGGUCACACUGGGACUGAGACACGGCCCAGACUCCUACGGGAGGCAGCAGUGGGAAUAUUGCACAAUGGGCGAAAGCCUGAUGCAGCGACGCCGCGUGAGGGAUGACGGCCUU